GCUGGGUGUGGUGGCACAUACCUGUAGUCCCAGCUACUUGGGAGGCUGAGGUGGGAGGUUCCCUUGAGCCCAGGAGCUCCAGGCUGCAGUGAGCCAUGAUUCUGCCACCGCACUCCAGCCUGGGCAACAGGGGGAGACCCUGCCUCAA
This is a non-coding RNA of Pan troglodytes (chimpanzee), 148 nucleotides long. It matches the Rfam family "Metazoan signal recognition particle RNA". Rfam says of the family: The signal recognition particle (SRP) is a universally conserved ribonucleoprotein. It is involved in the co-translational targeting of proteins to membranes. The eukaryotic SRP consists of a 300-nucleotide 7S RNA and six proteins: SRPs 72, 68, 54, 19, 14, and 9. The record is from Rfam. NCBI's taxonomy places the organism in Eukaryota, Metazoa, Chordata, Mammalia, Primates, Hominidae.